Manis javanica (Malayan pangolin) is the source of this 107-nucleotide small nuclear RNA. Lineage: Eukaryota; Metazoa; Chordata; Mammalia; Pholidota; Manidae. The record is from RefSeq and is a predicted model, not a curated record.
GUGCUCGUUUGGGCAGCACAUAUACUAAAAUUGGAACAAUACAGAGAAGUCUAGUAUGGCCCCUAAGCAAGGAUGACAUGCAAAUUUGUGAAGCAUUCCAUACUUCU